CCUCCCCCCUCCCCUUCCAUAAAUUUCUCUUUGUAUCUUCUUUUCCAAUAGAAUCCAAAGCUUCUUUUUUCUUUCCAACUGCACACUCCGAAUAGAAAAAACAUGGUCAGCGAUGUUGAAUUAGACAGAACCACAGAGACUAUUAAGUUUCUCUGCAGUUACGGUGGUAAGAUUCUUCUACGACCCGUUGACGGAGAGAUCCGUUACAUCGGUGGUCACACCAGAAUUCUAGCCGUCAAUCGUUCUAUAUCCUUUGCAGAACUCAUGGUUAAGCUUGGAGAAUUUUGUGGAUCUUCUGUGGAAUUGAGGUGUCAAUUACCGAAUGGAAAUUUGGAGAUGCUAGUUUCUAUAAAAUCCGAUGAGGAAUUGGCGCUUCUCGUUGCAGAAUAUGAUCUGUGUUGUCCUGGUUCGAAGAUUAGAGCCGUUCUCUCUCCUCCGAAGUCUCUCAAAACCGUCUCUCCUCCUCCGUCAACUCCUGCAAGUGUCGAUUUCUGUCCAGUGAAAUCGCCUUUUAAUCCCUUCAAUUAUCAACGAUCUGGAAAAUAUUCAUCGCCGGUCAGAUAUCCCAUCGGCGUUUUUAAAGACUCUGGCAGAGUUUAUUACAAUCCUUUUCAUGGACAAGGAAGCCUUGGAGUACGGUGUCGUGACCUUUGCUGCAACGGACAAGGAAACCCUAGAUUGCGGUGUUGUGGCCCUUUCUACAACAAGAUCUGGCAUUAACGAUUAAAAGCCCCAAAUCUGGGAUUAGCUAAUUAGUUUAUACAAAUUAAGAACAUAGAUAACGGUAGGGAAAAGAAAAUUACUAAGGGAGGAUGAAAUUUUGAUUAUGUGAUUGAAAUGUAAAUUUGAAAAAGAAUUUUUUAAGUGCGUGAAUUUGUUGCCCCAGGAGUGUUGGUUGCUUGUUACGGCCGUUGGGCCUCCGAUUAUGGCCGUUAAGCAGGUUUAUAUUGCGAUACGUGUGUGUCACGUGGACUAAAUUAAUCAGUGACCAUCAGUCCAUCCCAGAGGAUUUAAUUUUCAGUUGCAUACAGGUCCUUGAAUUCUUUUAAAUUUUUGAGGCAAUGAACAGUUAUCGAUUGGGUUUGCAAUGGUCUGGUCUGACAUGACGGGACGUGGUUUGCUUCUUCUUCUUUUUUUUUUUUUUAAACAAUUUUUUUGGAUGUUUCCAUUGCUUUCUGCUAAUUUAUGUAGAAGAAAAUGCUGCCCAUAAUAUCUAGCUUGUAUGAAUUGAUAUUAUAUUAUUUGUUUGGCUAUAAGCAAUUCACAAUUAAGAGAAGAAAAGAGGUUACAUUGGCAACAUACAACAUAUUUCUUUUUGUGCAAUGAAGAAGACUAAGUUACUCUUGAUGAGGAGUAUUUUCUUAUAGUUCUUUUAGAAAUUACUGCUAUUUAGUGGGAAUUUAGGAAUAUGAUCAAAGAGUUUUAAUAUCUUUCAGUUUUAUUUUUUUACUUUGAAUUCAAAAACAGUGGCGCUAAAAUCCUACAUGAUUUACGUUAUUAACAUGAGCUGGCUCAUACAGGAUUAACUGUCUAAUUUUAUUCUUUUGCAAGCGUGUACCUUGUGCUUAGGCUCCAGGAACCCUUUGUGCCUUUAAUAACUAUGAUUUUGUAGUUAGUGAAGCAAGUUCUUCAUAUAUUUGUGGUGAAAAAUAUUGAUUGAUUUAUGUUUGUUCUCUAAGGUAUUGAUUACAUAUUGAAUUCAUGUCUGCUAGUGGAGAUGAUUGGAUAAGUAAAAUUCAGUAGAUUAAUUGAGUCAUUUCUGAUAUUAUCAAUUUAUUGAAUAGAACCACAAUGUUUGCAUGUCCUUCCAAUGUCAUGACAUUGAAAAAUUUUAAUCUUACUUAAUUGAGUCUUUUUGUGAAGAAAGAACACUUGGCUGCACUUUUUUAUUUGCCUCUGGUUAUUAUAUCUUUAGAAUUGCCAUGUGUUCACUGCAAAUUGUUCAAAUAUGGCAGGGUCAUGAUGUGGUAGCCAUUGCCUGCCCUGAACGUUAUAUUGUUGGGUUAGACAUAUCUGAGAAAGCCAUUAAGAAAGCGGAAGAGUUAUCUUCCUCGUUUCCAAAUGCAAAUUGUUUUAAGUUCUUAAGGGCCGACUUCUUCUCUUGGCACCCACCUGAGUUAUUUGAUCUUAUUUUUGAUUAUACGUUCUUUUGUGCCAUUGAACCAGAGAUGAGAUCACAAUGGGCAGUGCAAAUUCGAGAUCUUUUGAAACCUGAUGGAGAGCUCAUAACUCUGAUUUUCCCAGUAACUAUCUUUAUCACUUGACAUAUUUACAAAUUUCGUUUACCUUUGGCAAGUGAACAAGGAUAACAUCAUCUGAUUCUCAAAAAUUGGUUUCUUGGCAUUUUAUUUGAUCUAGAGUUCCUAUGGACAUCAGUGGGAUUGCUGUGUUCUUCAAAUUAUUCUGCAUUAAACAAUUUCUAAGCAAAUCAGCACCUUGCACAUUAUUUUAAUCAUGUAUCAUAGUUGUGUAGUUAAUGCUUAAUACACCUUCUGAACUCUGAAAAAAUGUUACAGAUUGAUGAUCAUAUUGGUGGACCACCAUAUAAAGUAUCAGUUUCUGAGUAAUUCCCAUCUUCAGUUUUUUUUACUGUUUUUACUUUUGCCUCAGUUGUGUCUUCUGACUUCAAUUCUUUUAUACUAUUAUUAAUGAUUUUUUAGUUUCAAAGAUUUUUUUUUCUCUUCCUACAAAGUUAAAUAUGUUGUUCUUUGUCUUGUAGCUAUGAAGAGGUAUUGUGUCCCUUAGGCUUCAAGGCAGUUUCCCUUGCUGAUAAUGAAAUGGCCAUCAAAGGUCGAAAGGAAUUGGAAAGCCCAAUUACUUCCUUCUGGCUGGGACAAGCAUAUAAGAAUUGAAAAUUAGAGGUUUUAAUAUAACCUUGACAUUUCAUCUAGUGAAGCAUCUACUUUACAAAGUGCGAUUGCAUUUACUUGAUUUGGGUUUCUGCCAACAGAGACCAUAAAAACCAUAACCAAAUUUUGAUGAUGGAGAUGGUAGAGGAGUGUUAUAGUUACUUCAACAAAGAGGGUUGUCACGAUCCAAUUCUGUGAGUUAGACCGGUACUACUACUAGGACUUAGGUAAGUUUAAAACUCUUGAAACUUGUAGAACAAAUGAAGGUGAGAUUCGUUUGGAUGGAGUUUUGGUGUCAGAAUGUAAUCAAUUCAAGUAUAUAGGCCAUGUUUGGUAUGAUGUUAUAAAAGUUGUAAUGUAAUCAUAAUUACAUUGCAAAUUUGAUUACGUUGUUUGGUAGUAUAAAAAAAUUUGAUGUAAUGGAAUGACAAUUACGUAAUGUAAUCAAUUUUACUUAAAAUAACUUAAUGAUCAUUACAUAUAAAAAUGGAUGUAAUCAUAAGUAUUUGUUUUAAUUUUUUUUUUUCUCAUUUAUUGUCAACUCUACCGCCUCCACCACCACUACACGAUUAGCACUGCUACUAUUGCCACUACCCUCAUCCUAUCAUCACUACCACUACCAUUACUAUCACUACCACCACCAACACCACCACCAUUACCGUCACUUCACCACGGCUAUCACCAUUUAGCCACUGUCACCUCUACCACUACCACCAUCGCCAUUUAGCCACCACUAUCACUUGACUACCAAUCAUUGCAAUUAUUACCACUUAUUAUUAACACUAUAUAUAAAUUAAAUAUUAAAAUUAAAAUUAUCAUUAAAUUACACUACUUAUAUUUUUAUUUUGCAACCAAACAUAGAAAUGUAAUGACAAUUAAAUUACAUUACAUUACAAUUUUGAUUGUAUUACAUAAUUGAUUCUAUCGCAUUACAUUACGCACUGCCAAAAGUAACUUAAGAGGUUUGUUUCUAUUUUUACUCAUUCACUGAUCUUCCAUGCUCAAACCUACAUUGACUUUCUGUGAUAUUUUGUAUUUUCUUUCUUUGAGGCUUCAAAUGCAUGGAUUCCAUAUACAGAACUCAUUCUGAGCCCUUAGAGUGUAUAUAACGCUGUUAAUUGAUGUUUCAUUGUUUAAGAUAUUUUGAGUUUGUAUUUUGCAAUGCAGGUUAUUGGAAGAUGGCCACCAAAG
RNAcentral lists this unclassified non-coding RNA (4040 nucleotides) under Hevea brasiliensis (rubber tree). Lineage: Eukaryota; Viridiplantae; Streptophyta; Magnoliopsida; Malpighiales; Euphorbiaceae. The record is from RNAcentral.